AACUAAGUAAGUCGAACGGUGAAGCAGAGCUUGCUCUGUGGAUCAGUGGCGAACGGGUGAGUAACACGUGAGCAACCUGCCCCUGACUCUGGGAUAAGCGCUGGAAACGGCGUCUAAUACUGGAUACGAGCAACGGCCGCAUGGCCAGUUGUUGGAAAGAUUUUUUGGUUGGGGAUGGGCUCGCGGCCUAUCAGCUUGUUGGUGAGGUAAUGGCUCACCAAGGCGUCGACGGGUAGCCGGCCUGAGAGGGUGACCGGCCACACUGGGACUGAGACACGGCCCAGACUCCUACGGGAGGCAGCAGUGGGGAAUAUUGCACAAUGGGCGGAAGCCUGAUGCAGCAACGCCGCGUGAGGGAUGACGGCCUUCGGGUUGUAAACCUCUUUUAGCAGGGAAGAAGCGAAAGUGACGGUACCUGCAGAAAAAGCGCCGGCUAACUACGUGCCAGCAGCCGCGGUAAUACGUAGGGCGCAAGCGUUAUCCGGAAUUAUUGGGCGUAAAGAGCUCGUAGGCGGUUUGUCGCGUCUGCUGUGAAAUCCCGAGGCUCAACCUCGGGCCUGCAGUGGGUACGGGCAGACUAGAGUGCGGUAGGGGAGAUUGGAAUUCCUGGUGUAGCGGUGGAAUGCGCAGAUAUCAGGAGGAACACCGAUGGCGAAGGCAGAUCUCUGGGCCGUAACUGACGCUGAGGAGCGAAAGGGUGGGGAGCAAACAGGCUUAGAUACCCUGGUAGUCCACCCCGUAAACGUUGGGAACUAGUUGUGGGGUCCAUUCCACGGAUUCCGUGACGCAGCUAACGCAUUAAGUUCCCCGCCUGGGGAGUACGGCCGCAAGGCUAAAACUCAAAGGAAUUGACGGGGACCCGCACAAGCGGCGGAGCAUGCGGAUUAAUUCGAUGCAACGCGAAGAACCUUACCAAGGCUUGACAUAUACGAGAACGGGCCAGAAAUGGUCAACUCUUUGGACACUCGUAAACAGGUGGUGCAUGGUUGUCGUCAGCUCGUGUCGUGAGAUGUUGGGUUAAGUCCCGCAACGAGCGCAACCCUCGUUCUAUGUUGCCAGCACGUAAUGGUGGGAACUCAUGGGAUACUGCCGGGGUCAACUCGGAAGAAAGUGGGGAUGACGUCAAAUCAUCAUGCCCCUUAUGUCUUGGGCUUCACGCAUGCUACAAUGGCCGGUACAAAGGGCUGCAAUACCGCGA
This 1198-nucleotide ribosomal RNA is filed under the name Microbacterium sp. Its description in RNAcentral is "bacterial SSU rRNA". It matches the Rfam family "Bacterial small subunit ribosomal RNA", at positions 51 to 1260 of the family's 1533-position model. The record is from RNAcentral. Lineage: Bacteria; Bacillati; Actinomycetota; Actinomycetes; Micrococcales; Microbacteriaceae.